RNAcentral lists this ribosomal RNA (253 nucleotides) under uncultured bacterium. RNAcentral's name for it is "partial 16S ribosomal RNA". It matches the Rfam family "Bacterial small subunit ribosomal RNA", at positions 524 to 776 of the family's 1533-position model. The record is from RNAcentral.
UACGGGGGGGGCAAGCGUUGUUCGGAAUUACUGGGCGGAAAGCGCGUGUAGGCGGACCACCAAGUCGGACGUGAAAGCCCUGAGCUCAACUCAGGAACUGCAUCCGAAACUGGCGGUCUGGAGUAGUGGAGAGGAAAGCAGAAUUCCUGGUGUAGAGGUGAAAUUCGUAGAUAUCAGGAGGAACACCGGUGGCGAAGGCGGCUUUCUGGACACUUACUGACGCUGAGACGCGAAAGCGUGGGGAGCAAACAGG